This 1904-nucleotide long non-coding RNA is filed under the name Strigops habroptila (Kakapo). RNAcentral's name for it is "lncRNA (ENSSHBG00005012202.1)". The record is from RNAcentral. Lineage: Eukaryota; Metazoa; Chordata; Aves; Psittaciformes; Psittacidae.
UCUACCUAAGCUUUAUUUUUACUAUAUAUAUCUUAACACAUAAAUAAAUAAUGUGCUUAGAAUUAAUGUGCUAUGAAAUUCUCUGUCUUAGUGUCCCGAGGUGAACAUCUGCAAGCCUUUGACAGUUUGGUAGUUCAACCACUGCACAUAUAGGAAUAAGCAGUGUUAAGACUUGGCGUACAACAACAUAAACAACACUUAAGCAAAUGUUCAGCAGUCUUAUAUAGGCAUUUAAAAGGUACACAACAAACUUUCCGAAAGCACAACUAUCUAUUUUGCCUUCUGUCCAGUUUGUGAAAGAUACAGUUACGAGAAAGUAUGAUACAGUUAACAGAAAGUACUUCCAGAUUUCUGCAGGCAUGGCCUGCUUUAAUGGAAAAGUUAACUUAUAUACUACAUAGCGGCUGCUUUAUCCAAUAAAAUAAAGAUUCCAAAAGAAAAGUAAUCUUCUAUCAUGAGGUAUUUUAACCCCAGAAUGGAAAACCUGAAGAUAGCAGAAGGAUAAAACCCUUGACAGGAGAAACUACAAAAGCUUCAGGGUUUCUCCGGAAAAUAGAAAGCGAGCAGUUUAGAAACACAGUAGGCAAAAUAAAAGGUUUUGUACUCCAACCGAGAGUAUAUUUCAUAAACACUCAAUAAUUUUGCCUUCCUCCUGAUUUCAAAAACAGACAUUCUGCAGAAGGGAUAAAAACUGUAGCACAGCUACUUCACUUGAGCCCAUUAGAGCCCAUUAAUUUUCCCCUGUAAAUAGCCUUCCAUAUACCACCAAAAGGCUGACUGAUAGAAGAUCCAGAGGAAUAAGGUGCUAUAAAAUGAAGUAAUCAGGCAAGUAGAACAGAACUUCAAUUUCUAAACAAAUGGGAACGCUGAUGGCAAAAGAAGUCACUUCCAACUUGUGGGGGAAAAAGUAAUUCUGGUUCCAUGAGGUUUUCUGCAUUUUCAGUUUUUCUUUGAUUUUUAUACUCCUCAUGAUGCCCAAUUCCUGCUUCCUAUAAACAGCAGAAAUAACUAUUACUUCAGCAUGGUGCCCCCAUGUCUAUAUAGUCACCAACAUGGCCGUAAAGCUCUAGCUGUAGUAGCCUGAAAAAAUGAGGCUUAAAAACCAUGAAGCUACCUGUUGUGUCACGAGCACAAGAUUAAUAUUUAUGUAAAGAACCUGAACAAAAUCAACUUUCAGCAAAGUUUGGCAAAACUUGAAACACCGUUUACCAAGAGGGGCAUCCAGAUGAUUAGUUUCUUGAGAACUCAACCUAUAUAUAGGUAGUAAUUCAUAAACCUUACAGUUUCAUAAAUAAUGUAUCACAGCUCAGAUCCUUCAAGCACUUGUUAUUAAAACUACUCAGAUACAUAAAUGUUUACUGACUUUGUGUGUUGAAAUGUGAACUGACAUGAACUUAAACACAGCUUUUAAACACCCAGUCCCUUUCUGCACUGCAUACAGAUUUCCUGAGCAGCAGAGGAGGAAAACGGAACAGAUUUAGACAAGCAUAGAGUGGCUAUUUGUACAUUUAUGCACAGAAAACUUAUUAUAAUACUGAUACAGAUUUGGAAAGCUUAGUGGCCACGUUUAGGUAUGUGGUCAGUAGAGAGCUACAACAGCUGACAUCCAUCAUCCAUGCCAAAGUACUCUAGAGAUGGGCAGUGCUAAGCAAGGAAAAGCAACUGUUUCUCCCAUCGUGGUUUAAACCCAGCCAGUAACUCAGCACCACAGAGCCGCUACCCUCUCCCAACCUCCUUGGGCAGGUUGGGGAGGAGAACUGAAAGAAUGUAAACCCCACGGGUUAAGAACAGUUUAAUAAAUAAAGUACAAUAUACUACUAUACUAAUACUACUACUACUGAUAAGGGAAAUAACAAGGGGAGAGAAUAUAAAACUAAAAAGGAGAAAGGCAAAAAAAAAAAAAA